CGACAGUCCCAAUCCAUUCCAGCUUUCAAGCCAGGUGCUACGAUUUCAGCGCAGCUGUGAAAUCAAUGAAAAUAGUGAAUGAGCAUGUCGACGCUGCUGGAUCUGAAGAGCAGUGUGCUGAGGCAGGUGCAAAGGAGCCAGUCCCUGAGGACUAGGAGGGAGCCACCGGCCAGCACCAGCGCUGGAGGGAGUCCCCCGACCCUCGCACGCCGCUCUGGCACCAUCGUACACAGAUCUUAGCAGAUGGUGGCAUGACUGUCCAUGAACAG
This 269-nucleotide long non-coding RNA is filed under the name Sinocyclocheilus anshuiensis. Its description in RNAcentral is "lncRNA (ENSSANG00000038407.1)". Lineage: Eukaryota; Metazoa; Chordata; Actinopteri; Cypriniformes; Cyprinidae. The record is from RNAcentral.